AUGGGUCCCUAUGGGGUUUCAAUGGGGCCUCUUUGGGUUUCUAUGGGGUCCCUAUGUCUUCCUAUGGGUCCCUAUGGGUCCCUAUGGGUCCCAAUGUCUCUCAAUGUCUCUCUAUGGGUCCCAAUGUCUCCCUAUGUGUCCCUAUAUCUCCCUAUGGGUCCCAAUGUCUCUCUAUGUGUCCCUAUGGGUCCCUAUAUGUCCCUAUGUGUCUCUAUGGGGUCCCUAUGUGUCCCUAUGUGGGGCUGGUUAUGGGGCUGGUUAUGGGGUCAGUUCUGGGGCUGGUUAUGGGGCUGGUUAUGGGGCUGGUUAUGGGUCAUUUAUGGGGCUGGUUAUGGGUCAGUUAUGGGGCUGGUUAUGGGUCAGUUAUGGGUCAGUUAUGGGGCUGGCUAUGGGGUCAGUUAUGGGGCUGGUUAUGGGGCUGGUUAUGGGGCUGGUUAUGGGGUUGGUUAUGGGGCUGGUUAUGGGGUCAGUUAUGGGGCUGGUUAUGGGUUCGGUUAUGGGGCGGUUAUGGGGCUGGUUAUAGGGUCACUUAUGGGGUGGUUAUGGGGCUGGUUAUGGGGCUGGUUAUGGGACGGUUAUGGGGCUGUUUAUGGGGUCAGUUAUGGGGCUGGUUAUGGGUUCGGUUAUGGGUCAGUUAUGGGGCUGGUUAUGGGGUCAAUUAUGGGGUCAAUUGUGAAGCUGGUUAUGGGGCUGAUUAUGGGGAUGGUUAUGGGGCUGGUUAUGGGGCUGGUUAUGGGGUCAGUUAUGGGGCUGGUUAUGGGUCAGUUAUGGGGUCACUUAUGGAGCUGGUUAUGGGUCAGUUAUGGGGUCACUUAUGGAGCUGGUUAUGGGGCUGGAUAUGGGGCCGGUUAUGGGGCAGGCUAUGGGGCAGGCACUCAUCUUCAGGUUUGGGGCGGUUAUGGGGUGGUUAUGGGGUCAGUUAUGGGGCUGGUUAUGGGGCUGGAUAUGGGGCCGGUUAUGGGGUCGGUUAUGGGGCUGGUUAUGGGGUUGGUUAUGGGGUCAGUUAUGGGGCUGGUUAUGGGUCAGUUAUGGGUCAGUUAUGGGGCUGGUUAUGGGGCUGGUUAUGGGGUCAGUUAUGGGGCUGGUUAUGAGAUAGUUAUGGGGAUGGUUAUGGGGUCAGUUAUGGGGCUGGUUAUGGGUCAGUUAUGGGUCAGUUAUGGGGCUGGUUAUGGGNGUUAUGGGUCAGUUAUGGGGCUGGUUAUGGGUCAGUUAUGGGUCAGUUAUGGGGCUGGUUAUGGGGUUUCCGUUCCAACUUCCUGUUUCGGUUCCCGCAGCUCCCGCCCGGUGGUGUCGGUGUCGGCCAUCUUGUCGGUUCCGGUUCGUCGCCUCCCCCACUCGUGGGGUCGAUGUGGGGCAGGAGGCGUCGCCGUGGGGCUGCGGCUCUGCUUCCAAACCGAGCUCAGCAGCAACACGUACCGAGGUCGCCUCCUCGUCCCCAUCCAUUUCCUCUUCCGGGUCGACUCUCAGCGCCAUUGGCCACGUGGUCAAUUCACUUCCGGGUCAACCACGUGGGAGGACCGGAUGUUGUUGGAAGGGGGAGAGCGGUGCGUCAACAACACGGUCCUCCUGCAGCCGUGCCCCGAGGACUCGCUGACCCCAAUGAGGCUGGCCGUCAAUUACUCCCUGGACCCCGAAUACCCCACAGACCCCACAGACGACCCCAUUGCCGUCAUAGACCCCAUAACCAACUCGGCCUGGAUUGAGGUGCCGUACGAGCAGCGCUGCGGCUCGGCCGGGCUGUGUGACCCGAUGUGA
RNAcentral lists this long non-coding RNA (1755 nucleotides) under Coturnix japonica (Japanese quail). RNAcentral's name for it is "lncRNA (ENSCJPG00005005935.1)". The record is from RNAcentral. Lineage: Eukaryota; Metazoa; Chordata; Aves; Galliformes; Phasianidae.